Regulatory RNA element from Coriobacteriales bacterium, 33 nucleotides. It matches the Rfam family "L31-Coriobacteria ribosomal protein leader". The record is from Rfam. NCBI's taxonomy places the organism in Bacteria, Bacillati, Actinomycetota, Coriobacteriia, Coriobacteriales.
GGCUUGGUCGGAAACCAAGCCUCGAUAAAGGAG